RNAcentral lists this ribosomal RNA (454 nucleotides) under uncultured bacterium. RNAcentral's name for it is "bacterial SSU rRNA". It matches the Rfam family "Bacterial small subunit ribosomal RNA", at positions 341 to 792 of the family's 1533-position model. The record is from RNAcentral.
ACGGGAGGCAGCAGUGAGGAAUAUUGGUCAAUGGACGAGAGUCUGAACCAGCCAAGUAGCGUGAAGGAUGAAGGUUCUAUGGAUUGUAAACUUCUUUUAUACGGGAAUAAACGGAUCCACGUGUGGAUUUUUGCAUGUACCGUAUGAAUAAGGAUCGGCUAACUCCGUGCCAGCAGCCGCGGUAAUACGGAGGAUCCGAGCGUUAUCCGGAUUUAUUGGGUUUAAAGGGAGCGUAGAUGGGUUGUUAAGUCAGUUGUGAAAGUUUGCGGCUCAACCGUAAAAUUGCAAUUGAUACUGGCAGUCUUGAGUACAGUUGAGGUAGGCGGAAUUCGUGGUGUAGCGGUGAAAUGCUUAGAUAUCACGAAGAACUCCGAUUGCGAAGGCAGCUUACUAACCUGUAACUGACAUUGAUGCUCGAAAGUGUGGGUAUCAAACAGGAUUAGAUACCCUGGUA